UGGUGAUGUGAGAUGAUAAAGUGAUGACACGAACUGAGGUGAAUGACGGAAGCAUUGUGACAUAGCGUUGCUCUACUACUGAACUUCUGAACAUACAUCAGAAGGAGGGCCAUCUGCUGACAGAAGUGAAACAGGAAGUCAUGAAAGAAAGUCACACAUUUGUUCUGUUGUUAGCUGUGGUGUGUUACCAGCGCAGGUUACGGCAAAUGCUGUACGGACACCUGGAUGAGUCUGAACUUCAUGGGGGCACCCAGCCAGAGAAGAAUGUGGGAAAUUGUGGCGUUGGGUCCCACGGGAAAUGACUGAGACCGCACCUUGAGUCUAUCCCACCCGAUCUACCCUCAUAUUCUUUCCUGAGAAGGGCAAUAGUGGUCACCAAAUCAGGCUGAGGCUCCUAUCAUUGGAAUUUCUCCUAUCAGGAACGAAUACUAAGACUUUACAUUUUUUUUCACCUAGAUUUCAAGUGAGCAGGAAACAAAUCACCAACCUACAUCAAAGAGGUUCAAGCUUGUUGCAGAGAUGCCAAGCUCGAUUUUUCAAUGUCAGUCUCCAGAGAUAUUAAUUCUCAGUUCCUAUUUGUAGCUUUAUCGCUAUGUAUGAUCAUACUGAAAAUUCAAAGAGGAUUGUGUAUAAUUCUAUUCCCUAUUCUUAUUUAUUUUAUUACGAGUUUAAAAAUGAAUUUAAAUGUUUAAAACACAUCAACAGUUAAGACACUGUUCCCUAAACUACUCAAGCUCAUGAAAACAUCUUAAAAAUAAUCAAGUAGCACAGCUUUGAAGACUUGAAUACAAUGCUAAUAAUAAUAAUAAAAAAAGUAGAGCUUGUACAUAGCUUGGUUAAGAACAGGCAAUGCACAAGAAUGAUGUAAGAUCAUCUGAAUUAAUAUUUGCAACACUAACAAAUCAGAUUAUUCUUCUGAUAUACAAAGCCUUGCAAGAAGGGUGUCCUACAUCAUCAGCCCCUUGAGGAAUUGUGGAUAAACAGAAAAUAAUUAUAUCCCUAGAGAUGAAAUAAAACUGGUUGUCCCCCUGAGAGAGCCCUUGUUUUGAUGUUAAAUGAUGGGUGUUACUGGUAUUUCAAAGGAAAACCUCCCCAGAAGCAGGAUGCAAUAAAAACUGACAUACAGAUUAAAAAGACGAUUAAAUAUUAAUGAGGCCAAACCCACUUACAAAUCAAAUGCGGAAGAAAGGAGACAUCUUUCUUUCAGAGAAAGUUGGAUUCACUCAUCACAUCCUAUUGCUUUAAAACAACAAAUCUGUUUGUGUUAUUGCAUACCAAGCAUCACGUUUUGGAGAACACAGACGUGACCUUCGCAAAGCAAGCUGGUUACUAAAUAAUGCAUAACUAUGAUAUUUGUGUUGUUCCAAAAAAAAAAAAGUGGAGAAUAUCUUGAAUGAGAAUUUUCAUGUAAAAUGACAAAUGUUUUUCUCUGGUAAGUUUUGGCUAGGUUCACUUUGGGUCCCAGGAAUUGCUCAAGGUGUGGUUCUUGACUAUCUAAUCCUGGAAAAUAGGAGGCUACAUGUUUAUAGCUAUGUGCAAAAUUUUCUAAGAUAACUUUGCUAUUAAUUUUGUUAUUAAAAGUCUUUUAUCGUAAAUAAAAUGUCUCCAACCUACUUAUCAUAAAUCCCAAAGCUAAUUCACAGACUAUCUACACUUCUUUAGGAAGGGAAAGGCAGAGGCAGAGGUAAUGAUCUUAGUGACUUAAGUAUGUGCACAAUUUUUGGGGUGCCUGGGUGGCUCAGUCAGUUCAGAGUCCAACUUCGGCUCAGGUCAUGAUCUCACAGUA
Long non-coding RNA from Felis catus (domestic cat), 1786 nucleotides. RefSeq lists it as uncharacterized. The transcript has 3 exons. The record is from RefSeq and is a predicted model, not a curated record. Lineage: Eukaryota; Metazoa; Chordata; Mammalia; Carnivora; Felidae.